This 297-nucleotide long non-coding RNA is filed under the name Carica papaya (papaya). Its description in RNAcentral is "long non-coding RNA (CPAP_LNC016227)". Lineage: Eukaryota; Viridiplantae; Streptophyta; Magnoliopsida; Brassicales; Caricaceae. The record is from RNAcentral.
GCGAUUUACCUCAACUUGGCCGUUUUUGGCUGGUUUUAGCCGAUUUCAACCUUCUUUAUACAUAUUCUUGCGAACAAAACACAUUAGAGGGUCUCGAUUGCCCCAAAAAACCAGAAAAUGGAAACCUAUCAAUGGUGAUUUUUUCGAUGCGGUGGCUCCACCAGCUCACCUUCGUGGCUGAGAGUUUUUCUCCGGUUAACCUAUAGAAAACAAAACGGUGAACACAAUGGUAAAAAAAUCACACGAAAUAGGAAACGAUAAGGGGCUCAUCGAAGGCGGUUACGAGUUUUGCCUGCG